AUUCUUUUCGGGGGGAUAAGUUGGGGAAACUAACGUAAUACCGCAUACGACUUACGGGUGAAAGCAGGGGAUCUUCGGACCUUGCGCGAUUGAAUGAGCCGAUGUCGGAUUAGCUAGUUGGCGGGGUAAGGGCCCACCAAGGCGACGAUCCGUAGCUGGUCUGAGAGGAUGAUCAGCCACACUGGAACUGAGACACGGUCCAGACUCCUACGGGAGGCAGCAGUGGGGAAUAUUGGACAAUGGGCGCAAGCCUGAUCCAGCCAUACCGCGUGGGUGAAGAAGGCCUUCGGGUUGUAAAGCCCUUUUGUUGGGAAAGAAAUCCAGCCGGCUAAUACCUGGUUGGGAUGACGGUACCCAAAGAAUAA
RNAcentral lists this ribosomal RNA (365 nucleotides) under uncultured bacterium. RNAcentral describes it as "bacterial SSU rRNA". It matches the Rfam family "Bacterial small subunit ribosomal RNA", at positions 128 to 489 of the family's 1533-position model. The record is from RNAcentral.